This 699-nucleotide unclassified non-coding RNA is filed under the name Leishmania donovani. Its description in RNAcentral is "gene:unknown". The record is from RNAcentral. Lineage: Eukaryota; Euglenozoa; Kinetoplastea; Trypanosomatida; Trypanosomatidae.
ACUGAACGCCGUGCAGACCAAGCGCCUUCCAGGCCUGCAGGGGAGAAGUGAGUCUCCUGCAGCGUACACACUUGCAGCGAGGACUCGUCGAGGAGACGGGACAACCAACGCCGUGUGGCGUCGUCCAGCCCACUGCGAUUCCGGUGCAUGCAGAGCGGGCCGUUGCCGCGAUCACGCUCCACACCACCGCAACGCAGCAAAGGCAGCAAAGGCAGAAAAGCGGUGGGCGCCUGCGCGCAUAUGUGGUGAGCCGUCGGUGCGACUCGUCGUGAGCUGGUCCAAGCGCGAUCAUGGCCGCACGUCUCCUCGGCACCGCGCCAGCCAAGCGCUGUCCGCCGACACCAAGAGGCCGCAGCCGUGCCCGGCGGCCGGGCUGCAGGCUCUUGGCCUCCCCACACAGAGCCUGGGUUCCACACCCUGAUACCGCGGUUGGGUGGCGAGUCUCAUGAGUUUUUUAUUUUCCCCAUAAAGAAAGGCCAUAUUUAAGUUGAUCGACUUGCCACCUGUUUUGGGUGUGUAUAUCGUCUUUUGUGAGGCGGGCGUGUUGCUGAUUAUCUGGCGACUCUCAGUGAGCGGGCGCCGGAGGGUGUACAUGAAAGGUUACGUGCACUCCUUCAUUUCAAUCGCGCAGGUCGGUGCAUAUGCGUAAUGCUUUCCAGGCAAUGAGAUCUCUCGCUGUUCCUCAUGACAACACCACAG